GAGCUUAUAGGUUAGUGGUAGAGCACAUGCCUAGCAUGCACAAGGUCCUGGGUUCAAUCCCCAGUAGCUCU
Molecule: transfer RNA, 71 nt
Filed under: Camelus bactrianus (Bactrian camel)
Lineage: Eukaryota; Metazoa; Chordata; Mammalia; Artiodactyla; Camelidae
Also listed under: 1 other name
Rfam family: tRNA
About the family: Transfer RNA (tRNA) molecules are approximately 80 nucleotides in length. Their secondary structure includes four short double-helical elements and three loops (D, anti-codon, and T loops).
Source: Rfam by way of RNAcentral